GUCCUGCUCCUGGGAGCAGUAGUGUGUGCUGAAGGCUGAGUGUUCUUCCAAAGCGUCCAGCCAACCCUACAAGUCAACAACGGGGAAUCUGAGCGUGAUUGAGGGACUUGCAUCCUUGCCUCCUGACGUUGGCGACCGCAUCAGACCUUGAGCAGCAGGAGGCGAGCAAGGUCGGAGACGCCACCUACUGUGUGGAGUACCAGGACAGAACGCCGUUGUGGAGGACUACCCAAUAGGAGCGCCAGCCCAAAAAUCUGGAGCUCUGCGGGAACAACACACGAGGGAGGAAUCAGUACCAUCGCUCCAUUUUGACAGCGGUAACUCAUUUGCAUAUUCCGAACCCGCACUGGGAAAUUUUCCCUUGGCUCUUUGAACAAUAACCCCAGCAUUUAUUCGUAUAUUUGUCAAGUAUUGACUUUCAUUUCCAUUUCUUAUUUGCUUUUAUUCAAAACAAUACAACAACCCAUCUAGUUAGCUUAGCGACAAGCCGGCUAACUCAACAACUUAUCGGGACCUGUUUUGCGCAGAUGCUUGCGUAAUCUCGUCACACUUCAUUGACUCCGUCACCGUCUCGGUGUUUACGGAAUCGUUACGCUAAUCAAUAGCCGCUUCACAGGCUGCUAAGUGAGGUUGCGGGCGGACACCCGAGAGGAGAGUAAGCAAAGAGGUUCGGUCACGAGUACAUUUUCAUUAGGGGGACAUUUGCAUUGAACCCACUGAAAUGGAGCAAUCAAUGUUGUAUUGAAGCACUUUGAGAGUGCGCUUCGUCAAGUGUUGCUCGAGGCAAACAGUAUGAGCCCCUUGCUUGCUGAUAUGUAUGCGGUGAAUUAACCCUCGUUGAACAGAGUUCCAAUUUGAAAGGAUAUUUUGAAGCGUUGGCGCUAGCUUGCAAAUCAUAGUGCGUCGUGGAAUUCACCUUCCAGAGGAGUCCCUCAAAUGUUUUGGCGUGACGUCGCAUCCCCUGCAAAGACGAGAAACGUCAUUAAGGAAACCAAACCGCAAGCAGAGGAAUUAUUGACCUGUAGUAUCAAAACUCACCCGCCGUGCGUUGCCUUCGAGUAAUUGUCGCAUGGCCGCGUCGCUGGCUAAUUCCGACACGGUCUGCCCUGAGAGAAAAACAACACGAAAGCCAACUUUAAAAACUUGAAAUGUGUAAUUUACUUUGAAAUCUUCAACUGCUCCCACACAAUCUGAGAUGAGAGAAACGCGUCAUCAACAUAAACAGAAAGACAAAAAAAACCUCAACUGCAUCGAGGCUAAUUAACACUGUUAGGCCUCUCGUGUAAUCAUGGCUUCUUGAGUCACGGCGCUAAUCAUUGAGUACCAAGCAUUUAA
Syngnathus acus (greater pipefish) is the source of this 1335-nucleotide long non-coding RNA. RefSeq lists it as uncharacterized. NCBI's taxonomy places the organism in Eukaryota, Metazoa, Chordata, Actinopteri, Syngnathiformes, Syngnathidae. The transcript is spliced from 3 exons. The record is from RefSeq and is a predicted model, not a curated record.